CCUACGGGAGGCAGCAGUGGGGGAUAUUGCACAAUGGGGGAAACCCUGAUGCAGCGACGCCGCGUGUGGGAAGACGGUCCUCUGGAUUGUAAACCACUGUCCCCAGGGACGAAGAUGACGGUACCUGGGGAGGAAGCUCCGGCUAACUACGUGCCAGCAGCCGCGGUAAUACGUAGGGAGCGAGCGUUGUCCGGAUUUACUGGGUGUAAAGGGAGCGUAGACGGCAGCACAAGUCUGGAGUGAAAUGCCGGGGCUUAACCCCGGAACUGCUUUGGAAACUGUGCAGCUAGAGUGCAGGAGAGGUAAGUGGAAUUCCUAGUGUAGCGGUGAAAUGCGUAGAUAUUAGGAGGAACACCAGUGGCGAAGGCGGCUUACUGGACUGUAACUGACGUUGAGGCCCGAAAGCGUGGGGAGCAAACAGGAUUAGAUACCCCUGUAGUC
This 441-nucleotide ribosomal RNA is filed under the name uncultured bacterium. RNAcentral describes it as "partial 16S ribosomal RNA". It matches the Rfam family "Bacterial small subunit ribosomal RNA", at positions 338 to 795 of the family's 1533-position model. The record is from RNAcentral.